This 253-nucleotide ribosomal RNA is filed under the name uncultured bacterium. RNAcentral describes it as "partial 16S ribosomal RNA". It matches the Rfam family "Bacterial small subunit ribosomal RNA", at positions 524 to 776 of the family's 1533-position model. The record is from RNAcentral.
UACGAACCGUGCAAGCGUUGUUCGGAAUCACUGGGCUUAAAGGGCGCGUAGGCGGGCUGCCGCGUCCGGGGUGAAAUCCCACGGCUCAACCGUGGAACGGCCCCGGGUACGGGCGGCCUCGAGGGGGGUAGGGGCGUGCGGAACUGUGGGUGGAGCGGUGAAAUGCGUUGAUAUCCACAGGAACUCCGGUGGCGAAGGCGGCACGCUGGACCCCCACUGACGCUGAGGCGCGAAAGCCAGGGGAGCGAACGGG